UGACAUGUAACCAGGGUAUUUAUACCUAACAUAAAUUGGUCCUUCGAGCCAGAUUCCAACAUGCCUGCAGUUUCCAGGGGAGGAACGGACAUCAGAAGACCGUGGCCACGGCAGAGUCUCACAUAUUCAUUCCAGGACUGAUCUCCACCCUGCCUGCUGGGACCCAAUGGCUGAUGGAAAGGAGCGAAGGAGACAAGAGUCUAGAGUACAUUCCAUACAAGAACACAGUUCUGGACAGAGAAGCAGAAGUGGCAACAUCAGCCGGUUUGGUCCGGUUCUAAUCACUUCUUACGACAAACAAAGUGAAGGUAUAUAAAGUCUGUGUUUCCAUCUCUGAGACAUCCUGUGACCAGAAACUGCUGCUGGAACAGACUCUUCAACUAACCAUCAGAACAAGAUGGCUGCCGGUCUUCUCUUCUCUCUGCUUCUUGGUCUGAGCUUUGGACUCUGGGAUGGAGCUGAUGCCGGAUGUCGACUGAAAGUUGCCGACUGUGAGGAGUGCACUCAUGGUUGGAGAUGGUAUGAGGGUCGGUGUUUCCUGUAUGUGAAGGUUAAAAUGACCUGGGGUGAUGCAGAGAGAUUCUGCCUUUCAUUGGAUGCAAAUCUGGCCUCAAUAAACACUUACAUGAGUACCACUUCAUCAGAGACUUACCUUAAAUUCAACUGGA
This is a long non-coding RNA of Poeciliopsis prolifica (blackstripe livebearer), 668 nucleotides long. RefSeq lists it as uncharacterized. The record is from RefSeq and is a predicted model, not a curated record. The transcript has 8 exons. NCBI's taxonomy places the organism in Eukaryota, Metazoa, Chordata, Actinopteri, Cyprinodontiformes, Poeciliidae.